This 62-nucleotide transfer RNA is filed under the name Caenorhabditis afra. RNAcentral describes it as "tRNA-Lys". It matches the Rfam family "tRNA". From Rfam's summary of the family: Transfer RNA (tRNA) molecules are approximately 80 nucleotides in length. Lineage: Eukaryota; Metazoa; Nematoda; Chromadorea; Rhabditida; Rhabditidae. The record is from RNAcentral.
AAGGUGUUAACUUAAGAUUAAAGUGCCAAACUUUUAAUUUGGAAAUGGUGGACCACACCUUA